GGGGCGUUAGCUCAGUUGGUAGAGCAUCUGACUUUUAAUCAGGUGGUCGCAGGUUCGAAUCCUGCACGCCCCACCA
Molecule: transfer RNA, 76 nt
Filed under: Gammaproteobacteria bacterium
Lineage: Bacteria; Pseudomonadati; Pseudomonadota; Gammaproteobacteria
Also listed under: 1 other name
Description: tRNA-Lys
Rfam family: tRNA
About the family: Transfer RNA (tRNA) molecules are approximately 80 nucleotides in length. Their secondary structure includes four short double-helical elements and three loops (D, anti-codon, and T loops).
Source: RNAcentral